Molecule: long non-coding RNA, 529 nt
Filed under: Homo sapiens (human)
Lineage: Eukaryota; Metazoa; Chordata; Mammalia; Primates; Hominidae
Description: DHDDS antisense RNA 1
Source: RNAcentral
GAUUUUUUUUGAGGAUAUGGAGAUGCGCAGGACACGAUCCCAGCAAUCCAGGUGCUUACAGGCUGAUUGUACAGCCAUGCACACAGAGUGCCACGAUGCAAAAUAGGAUGUGGUAAGGGUCAUGCAGUUCAGAGGAGAAAGCAAGUGUGGCUGAUGAACAUCACGGAGCAGUGACCUUCAUGGACAGACAGAAUUUGAGCUGGCCCUUUAACCAAUGAGGAGGAUUCAAACAGAGAGGUGUUUCCAGUUCUUCUCAAGUACUUACCCUUGGGAAAUCCAAGCUAACAGAAGUCCUAGAGGUCAACUUUUCUCUCCCUGACCAUUUGUCUACUAUCCUUGUAUAAUGACCAAUCAGGUUUGUAUUAUCCUGAAAAGAAAUUCCACUAAAGAUGAAUAGCAGAGAACUGUGUUCAGAAUACAAGUUCCACAAAGGUAGAGAUCUUGUCCCUCUGGCUACCUGUUGACUCUCCUGUGCCUAAUACAGUGCCUGAUUCAUACUACUCAAUAAAUACUUAUGGAAUGAAUGAAA